CACGGGGGGCCUACGGGAGGCAGCAGUAGGGAAUCUUCCACAAUGGGCGAAAGCCUGAUGGAGCAACGCCGUCGUCGAGUGA
Molecule: ribosomal RNA, 82 nt
Filed under: uncultured bacterium
Lineage: Bacteria
Description: partial 16S rRNA
Source: RNAcentral